UUGUUUUGUUUACGACAUUUCACGUUCUUUGGACAAUGUUUGGGUUGGUAGUCCCACGUCCCGAGGGACGUGGGAACGGUUCACGGUGUGGGUGGAUAUGAAAACGGCCGGAGCCAAUCUCUAAUGAUCCUUCCGCAGGUUCACCUACGGAAA
Molecule: unclassified non-coding RNA, 153 nt
Filed under: uncultured fungus
Lineage: Eukaryota; Fungi
Description: sequence contains ITS1
Source: RNAcentral